This 327-nucleotide ribosomal RNA is filed under the name Pluralibacter gergoviae. RNAcentral describes it as "bacterial SSU rRNA". It matches the Rfam family "Bacterial small subunit ribosomal RNA", at positions 1045 to 1372 of the family's 1533-position model. Lineage: Bacteria; Pseudomonadati; Pseudomonadota; Gammaproteobacteria; Enterobacterales; Enterobacteriaceae. The record is from RNAcentral.
AUGGCUGUCGUCAGCUYGUGUUGUGAAAUGUUGGGUUAAGUCCCGCAACGAGCGCAACCCUUAUCCUUUGUUGCCAGCGGUYCGGCCGGGAACUCAAAGGAGACUGCCAGUGAUAAACUGGAGGAAGGUGGGGAUGACGUCAAGUCAUCAUGGCCCUUACGAGUAGGGCUACACACGUGCUACAAUGGCGCAUACAAAGAGAAGCGACCUCGCGAGAGCAAGCGGACCUCAUAAAGUGCGUCGUAGUCCGGAUUGGAGUCUGCAACUCGACUCCAUGAAGUCGGAAUCGCUAGUAAUCGUAGAUCAGAAUGCCACGGYGAAUACGUU